UACAGAGGGUGCAAGCGUUGCUCGGAAUCAUUGGGCGUAAAGGGUAGGUAGGUGGUCUCGUUUGUCUGGGGUGAAAGCCCAGGGCUUAACCCUGGAAGUGCCCCAGAAACGGCGAGACUAGAGUACUGGAGAGGGUCGUGGAAUUCCCGGUGUAGCGGUGAAAUGCGUAGAGAUCGGGAGGAACACCAGAGGCGAAGGCGGCGACCUGGACAGUUACUGACACUCAACUACGAAAGCGUGGGGAGCAAACAGG
This 253-nucleotide ribosomal RNA is filed under the name uncultured bacterium. Its description in RNAcentral is "partial 16S ribosomal RNA". It matches the Rfam family "Bacterial small subunit ribosomal RNA", at positions 524 to 776 of the family's 1533-position model. The record is from RNAcentral.